This 156-nucleotide ribosomal RNA is filed under the name Pichia ethanolica. RNAcentral's name for it is "[Candida] ethanolica 5.8S ribosomal RNA". It matches the Rfam family "5.8S ribosomal RNA". Rfam says of the family: 5.8S ribosomal RNA (5.8S rRNA) is a component of the large subunit of the eukaryotic ribosome. It is transcribed by RNA polymerase I as part of the 45S precursor that also contains 18S and 28S rRNA. Lineage: Eukaryota; Fungi; Ascomycota; Pichiomycetes; Pichiales; Pichiaceae. The record is from RNAcentral.
AACUUUCAACAACGGAUCUCUUGGUUCUCGCAUCGAUGAAGAGCGCAGCGAAAUGCGAUACCUAGUGUGAAUUGCAGCCAUCGUGAAUCAUCGAGUUCUUGAACGCACAUUGCGCCCGUCGGCAUUCCGGCGGGCAUGCCUGUCUGAGCGUCGUUU